UGUGACUCUGUGGUAGAGUGCUUGCCUAGCAUGUAUGAGGCCCUGGGUUUGAUCCCCAGCA
Molecule: transfer RNA, 61 nt
Filed under: Ictidomys tridecemlineatus (thirteen-lined ground squirrel)
Lineage: Eukaryota; Metazoa; Chordata; Mammalia; Rodentia; Sciuridae
Description: Spermophilus tridecemlineatus (thirteen-lined ground squirrel) tRNA
Rfam family: tRNA
About the family: Transfer RNA (tRNA) molecules are approximately 80 nucleotides in length. Their secondary structure includes four short double-helical elements and three loops (D, anti-codon, and T loops).
Source: Rfam by way of RNAcentral